This is a non-coding RNA of Drosophila virilis, 1000 nucleotides long. The record is from RefSeq and is a predicted model, not a curated record. Lineage: Eukaryota; Metazoa; Arthropoda; Insecta; Diptera; Drosophilidae.
CCGUUUUCUGUGCUUUGUCUGGGCUGUCAGUUAAAUUUAUUUAUUUUUUUCCCCUGCGCUCAACUCUCGCCUCGCAUUUUCUGCGUCUUUUUGGUUAAUUGGCUAAAAAUUUUCUACCAAAUUACUUUAAUUAUGACAGUUACACAGACCCCUUUACAAGUAUAAAGGUAUAUAUAUCUGUAUACCUAUAGACACAAGUCUUUCUUUCUUUAGUGUUUAGUUGCGCUUAUUGCCUUGGCCGCUCUUCAUCUGUCAUUCCCCAUUCCUCGAUUUAUUCGCUGUCAUCUUUUGGAUGCUCUAGCUUUUCAAAAUGUGUUAAGUAAUUGAUGAUAUUAUUGUUACGGCUGCGGCAGAGCCGAAGACACUAUUUUGAAUAGUGGGUCAGUUGAAUAGACUUGCGAAUGGCUGGCUGCGAUGAUUUCGUAAUAACCAUAUAGGCGUGUGCCUGCAAGCGAUGAAUUUCUUCGUUUCCUUUCUAAAAAAUAGGUUACUGAUUGCUUUUUAUUUUGAUAUCGCAGCGAUAGAACGAGUGAGAGUCAGCGGGAAUCUCAUAAACAUCAUUUAACCAGCUCGAAAAAAUGGGUAUAGUGCUAGUGAUCAAAUAAUUUAUAUAUUAAUGGAUACAAAGAAAUAUAUUAUGCGGAAUUUUGUCUUUUUGGUCAGUUGGCACAAGCCAAGUUUUUCGAAAGAUCCUUAUGUGAGCAUGCAAAUUCGUACAUUUCAAAAGUUGUGUUCUUUCGGACAUUCGGAAACUGAUAACAGCAUGGAACAUUUGGGCAACUGGCAAAGAAGGAUGCUGGUUCGAAUCCCAGAAUAGUAUAUGAAUGUAGCACGAAUAUGGCAACUGGCAAAGAAGGAUGCUGGUUCGAAUUCCAGGCCAGUGUAUGGUUGUAGUAAAAUACUAAAUGAUGAUCUCUUAAAGUUAAGCCAAUUUAUAACAAUAUCCUAUACUUAUAGUAUUAAUAACUAAUAAAGCAACAUCGUUAGUUCCAAAGCUAAA